UGGGGGAUAUUGCACAAUGGGCGAAAGUCUGAUGCAGCGACGCCGCGUGGGGGAUGAAGGCCUUCGGGUUGUAAACUUCUUUUGCUCUGAACAAGGCAUGCCUUUGGGGUGUGUUGAGUGUAGGGGUUGAUUAGCGCCGGCUAACUACGUGCCAGCAGCCGCGGUAAUACGUAGGGCGCGAGCGUUGUCCGGAAUUAUUGGGCGUAAAGGGCUUGUAGGUGGCUGGUUGCGUCUGUCGUGAAAGCUCAUGGCUUAACUGUGGGUUUGCGGUGGGUACGGGCUGGCUUGAGUGCAGUAGGGGAGGCUGGAAUUCCUGGUGUAGCGGUGGAAUGCGCAGAUAUCAGGAGGAAUACCGGUGGCGAAGGCGGGUCUCUGGGCUGUUACUGACGCUGAGGAGCGAAAGCGUGGGGAGCGAACAGG
This 420-nucleotide ribosomal RNA is filed under the name Fusobacteriota bacterium. RNAcentral's name for it is "Fusobacteria bacterium partial 16S ribosomal RNA". It matches the Rfam family "Bacterial small subunit ribosomal RNA", at positions 355 to 776 of the family's 1533-position model. Lineage: Bacteria; Fusobacteriati; Fusobacteriota. The record is from RNAcentral.